Molecule: long non-coding RNA, 482 nt
Filed under: Gigantopelta aegis
Lineage: Eukaryota; Metazoa; Mollusca; Gastropoda; Neomphalida; Peltospiridae
Description: uncharacterized LOC121379277, transcript variant X2
Source: RNAcentral
AGGAUGAGGUUCCUUAUUUUAACUGUGUGUCUGCCUGUACUGCUACAGGCGAGCAUUUUACUCCCAACAUAUCACACUUCGUGUGAUUAUCAGGGCACGGUUUACCAAGAGGGAGCACAUUUCCAACCAGACGCCUGUACGUACUGUAGCUGCUACCAAGGCAGGAUGAAUUGUGCGAUUCAGGACUGCGCCGCCCCACCAUGUAUGAACUACGUAACCAAGCCUGGCCGCUGUUGUCCUAUCUAUCCCAACGGUCCUGACAUUCUAGGCUGAUCCUGAAGUACAUACUAUUUCUGAAGGGCGGACAGCAAUGGACAUUGUGAACUGUGUGUACAGAUCGAUACCAUAGACUAAACAUGUGCCUCAGAUAUGUUAAUGACAUCUCUGUAUAUUACUAUAUCGUUUAAUAAAUUAACUAACAAUAGACACUUGACGCGUAGAAACAAUAUGUUUUGCAACUCCGUGAAUAAAAGUUAACUUGA